Molecule: long non-coding RNA, 359 nt
Filed under: Brassica napus (rape)
Lineage: Eukaryota; Viridiplantae; Streptophyta; Magnoliopsida; Brassicales; Brassicaceae
Description: long non-coding RNA (BNAP_LNC007773)
Source: RNAcentral
GGGGAGAAUGAGACAAAAUAUAAUUUAUAUUGUUAUAUAAAUAUUUUGUGUAUAUUAUUGAUAUUCAUGAAUGUUUAUAAUAUUAAUAUGACAUAAGUUAAAAUAUUUAUAUUGAAUUGAUUGUAAAUUUAAUUUAAGAAAUGUUUUUAUUAAUUUUUAAAAAGACAUGGAAAACAUAAAAUUAUGAGUAAUUAUUACUUCAUUAAUUUUGGAAAAGACAAAGAUUACUUAAAAGUAGGUUCAUUUAAUUAUUUCAGUGGCAUUAAACUGUAAAUAUUGUGCAAGUUUAAGGGUUAGUCUUAAUUUGUACUUCUGUUUUAAUAGAUUAGAUAUUUCAUGUUUAAUAUAUAGAAGAUAGU